UGACUGAACAGGUUGUGUUUGCUCCUCC
This 28-nucleotide non-coding RNA is filed under the name Mus musculus (house mouse). Lineage: Eukaryota; Metazoa; Chordata; Mammalia; Rodentia; Muridae. The record is from RNAcentral.